UCUCCGUAGGUGAACCAGCGGAGGGAUCAUUACAGAGUUGCAAAGCUCCCAAACCAUUGUGAACGUUACCUAUCCCGUUGCUUCGGCGGGCGGCCCGGGCCCCGCGCCCGGCGCCCCCCGGCCCCCCGUGGGCGCCCGCCGGAGGUAAACCAAACCCUUGAAUUGCAUGGCCUCUCUGAGUCUUCUGUACUGAAUAAGUCAAAACUUUCAACAACGGAUCUCUUGGUUCUG
RNAcentral lists this unclassified non-coding RNA (231 nucleotides) under plant metagenome. RNAcentral describes it as "partial contains small subunit ribosomal RNA, internal transcribed spacer 1, and 5.8S ribosomal RNA". The record is from RNAcentral.